This 184-nucleotide non-coding RNA is filed under the name Acidobacteriota bacterium. RNAcentral describes it as "Acidobacteria bacterium (anaerobic digester metagenome) 6S RNA". It matches the Rfam family "6S / SsrS RNA". From Rfam's summary of the family: E. coli 6S RNA was the first non coding RNA to be sequenced, but its function was unknown until recently. It consists of 184 nucleotides that fold into an extended hairpin structure with a large single-stranded internal bulge. The record is from RNAcentral. Lineage: Bacteria; Pseudomonadati; Acidobacteriota.
AUGCCCCUGCGAUGUUGGUGAUGGCCAUAAUUAUUUGAGCCAACAUUCUAUUUGACGGGAGCCCGGGUUGCGAUGCCGUGUGCGAGCUUUUCCCCAGGGAACUUGCUUGCCUGACGCAGCGCGCAGGGCGCCCCCUUGGCACCAAGGUUCAAAUAGAAAGGCCACACGGCAAAGCGGGGGUUUC